AGCAGCACACACACAUCUCUGCCCAUGAUUUGUGCACAUUGUGCCCAACUCAUCCCACAGGCCUUUGAGUUUAUUAAAAUAUGAGGCUACAUCUAAACAACCUUGAGAUGUGUGAGAGAGUUCCCUUUUUAAUUCAAAAAUUUUAGUCUUGUUAGGAGUACCAUAUCUUUUCUCAAUUUGGGACCUAUACUCAGUGCAGAAUCAGAAUACUGCACACUAUCAGCAAUUUGAGGAGAUAGGGAAGCGGUCAACCAGGAAAUGACCAUGUUAUUACAUCUAUCCCACAGCCUCNN
This 293-nucleotide long non-coding RNA is filed under the name Nicotiana benthamiana. RNAcentral's name for it is "long non-coding RNA (NBEN_LNC026961)". The record is from RNAcentral. Lineage: Eukaryota; Viridiplantae; Streptophyta; Magnoliopsida; Solanales; Solanaceae.